GGGGUAGAGUAAUGCGUGACCAACCUGCCCCAUGCUCCAGAAUAGCUCUUGGAAACGGGUGGUAAUGCUGGAUGCUCCAACUUGACGCAUGUCUUGUUGGGAAAGUGUUUAGUGGCAUGGGAUGGGGUCGCGUCCUAUCAGCUUGUAGGCGGGGUAAUGGCCCACCUAGGCUUCGACGGGUAGCCGGCCUGAGAGGGCGGACGGCCACAUUGGGACUGAGAUACGGCCCAGACUCCUACGGGAGGCAGCAGUA
Molecule: ribosomal RNA, 253 nt
Filed under: uncultured Gardnerella sp.
Lineage: Bacteria; Bacillati; Actinomycetota; Actinomycetes; Bifidobacteriales; Bifidobacteriaceae
Description: partial 16S ribosomal RNA
Rfam family: Bacterial small subunit ribosomal RNA
Source: RNAcentral